GAUUUUGAAUGCAGGACUGUGGCACAGGAUCCCAGUGCAGGGUUUUGACACAGGACUUCGGUGCAGGAUUUUGGCACAGGAUUUUGGUGCAGGACUUUGGCACAGGAUCCCAGUGCAGGACUUUGGCGCAGGAUUGUGGUGCAGGACUUUGGCACGGGAUCCCAGUGCAGGGUUUUGGCACAGGGUUUUGGCGCAGGACUUUGGCACAGGAUCCCAAUGCAGGGUUUUGGUGCAGGGUUUUGGCACAGGACUUUGGUGCAGGACUUUGGCGCAGGAUCCCAGUGCAGGACUUUGGCACAGGAUUGUGGUGCAGGACUUUGACACCGGGUUUUGGCACAGGAUUUUGGUGCAGGACUUUGGCACAGGACCCCAGUGCAGGACUUUGUUGCAGGACUUUGUUGCAGGACUUUGUUGCAGGACUUUGUUGCAGGACUUUGGUGCAGGGUUUUGGCGCAGGAUUUUGGUGCAGGACUUUGGCACAGGAUGGCAUUGCGAGAUGUUGGCGCAGGAUUUCGCUGCGGCAGCCGCAGGGAUUCCCCCAGCCCUCUCUGACACCCGGCCCGGCUCAUUACAGGCCGGGAUGUGAGCGCAGCCCCGCAGCGCCAUGGGGAACUCGGCGAGCCGCCCCGGCUGCCUGGGCCAGAAGAGCCGCCGCUCCGAGGAGCCGCCGGUGCCGGAUGAGGGCGCCGGAAAAACGCCGACGGAGAACGGCUGGAGCGCGGCGGGGCCACGGCGCAGCCCAGCGCUUCAACGCUGCCUCUCGGAGGCGGCGGUGCAGAACGGCGGCGCCGCGUGCGUGGCGUUGCGAGCGCCGGGAUGGGAAGGGGAGGCCGCCUGGACCCCCCCCCCCCCGGGCGCCGCGUGGGCCGCGGUCGUGGCAGCCGCUCAGCGCGAGGGAGGUGACGGAGGUGACGGAGGUGACGGAGACCAUCGUGACGGAGAUCGUGGAGGUCACCCGAUAUCCGGCGGGGGGGGGACGCCGUGCUGACGGAUGGCAGCGACGGCCACGAGGUGAUGGCCGAGCGGCGGACCCCAAAAGGGACGGCUGAGUGCCGAGCCCCGGGGCCGUGGGGAUCCCGGUGUCCCCAGCCAUCCCAAUAGGGAUCCCGGUGUCCCCAGCUGUCCCAACAGGGAUCCCAGUGUCCCCAGCUGUCUCCAUAGGGAUCCCAGAGUCCUUAGUUGUCCCCAUAGGGAUCCCUGAGCCCCCAGCUGUCCCUAUGGGGAUCCCAGACCCCCAGUUGUCCCCAUAGGGAUCUUGGUGCCUGCCCCCAGCUGUCCCUAUGGGGAUCCCAGAGCCCCCAGCUGUCCCUAUAGGGAUCUUGGUGCCGCCAGUUCUCCCCAUAGGGAUCCCGGUGUCCCCAGUUGUCCCUGUGGGAUUCCAGGGCCCCCAGUUGUCCCUAUGGGGAUCCCAGAGCCCUCAGUUGUCCCCAUAGGGAUCCCGGUGUCCCCAGCCGUCCCAAUAGGGAUCCCGGUGUCCCCAGUUGUCCCUGUGGGAUUCCAGGGCCCCCAGUUGUCCCUAUGGGGAUCCCAGAGCCCUCAGUUGUCCCCAUAGGGAUCCCGGUGUCCCCAGCUGUUCCAAUAGGGAUCCCGGUGUCCCCACCAUCCCCAUAGGGAUCCCAGAGCCCCCAGUUGUCCCAAUAGGGAUCCCGGUGUCCCCAGUUGUCCCUGUGGGAUUCCAGGGCCCCCAGCUGUCCCUAUGGGGAUCCCUGAGCCCCCAGUUGUCUCUGUGGGAUCUUGGUGCCCCCAGCUGUCCCUAUGGGGAUCCCGGUGUCCCCAGCCAUCCCUGUGGGAUCCUGGUGUCCCCAGUUGUCCCUGUGUGGAUCUUGGUGCCUCCAACCGUCCUUAUGGGGAUCCCAGAGCCCCCAGUUGUCCCAAUAGGGAUCCCGGUGUCCCCAGCCGUCCCUAUGGGGAUCCCGGUGCCCCCAGCUGUCCCAAUAGGGAUCCUGGUGUCCCCAGCCGUCCCAAUAGGGAUCCCGGUGUCCCCAGUUGUCCCUAUGUGGAUCUUGGUGCCUCCAACUGCCCCUAUGGGGAUCCCAGAGCCCCCAGCUGUCCCCAUAGGGAUCUUGGAGCCUCCAGCUGUCCCCAUAGGGAUCCCAGAGUCCUCAGUUGUCCCCAUAGGGAUCCCUGAGCCCCUAGCUGUCCCAAUAGGGAUCUUGGUGCCCCCAGCUGUCCCUAUGGGGAUCCCGGUGUCCCCAGCCGUCCCUAUGGGGACCACAGUGCCCCUGGCUGGCCCCAUGGCUGUCAGGAGCUUGCUGUGCCCAGCUGUUCCCAUGGGAAUCCCAGAGCCCCAGUUGUCCCCAUAGGGAUCUUGGUGCCACCAGUUCUCCCCAUAGGGAUACUGGUGCCCCCAGCUGUCCCUAUGGGGAUCCCGGUGCCCCCAGCUGUCCCUAUGGGGAUCCCGGUGUCCCCAGCUGUCCCCAUAGGGAUCCCAGAGUCCUCAGUUGUCCCCAUAGGGAUCCUGGUGUCCUCAGCCGUCCCUAUGGGGAUCUUGGUUCCCCCAGCUGUCCCCAUAGGGAUCCCGGUGCCCCCAGCUGUCCCUAUGGGGAUCCCAGUGCCCCCAGCUGUCCCUAUGGGGAUCCCAGACCCCCAGUUGUCCCCAUAGGGAUCCUGGUGUCCCCAGCUCUCCCCAUAGGGAUCCCAAAGUCCUCAGUUGUCCCCAUAGGGAUCCCAGAGCCCCCAGCUGUCCCUAUGGGGAUCUUGGUGCCCCCAGCUGUCCCUAUGGGGAUCCCAGUGCCCCCAGUUGUCCCUAUGGGGAUCCCAGAGCCCCCAGCUGUCCCCAUAGGGAUCCCGGUGCCCCCAGCUGUCCCUAUGGGGAUCCCGGUGCCCCCAGUUUUCCCAGUAGGGAUCCCAGAGCCCCCAGUUGUCCCUAUGAGGAUCCCAGUGCCCCCAGUUGUCCCCAUAGGGAUCCCAGAACCCCCAGUUGUCCCCAUAGGGAUCUUGGUGCCCCCAGUUGUCCCCAUAGGGAUCCCAGAACCCCCAGCUGUCCCUAUGGGGAUCUUGGUGCCCCCAGUUGUCCCUAUGGUGAUCCCAGAGCCCCCAGCUGUCCCUAUGAGGAUCCCAGUGCCCUCAGCUGUCCCUAUGGGGAUCCCAGAGCCCCCAGUUGUCCCCAUAGGGAUCCCAGAACCCCCAGCUGUCCCUAUGGGGAUCUUGGUGCCCCCAGUUGUCCCUAUGGUGAUCCCAGAGCCCCCAGCUGUCCCUAUGAGGAUCCCAGUGCCCUCAGCUGUCCCUAUGGGGAUCCCAGAGCCCCCAGUUGUCCCCAUAGGGAUCCCAGAACCCCCAGCUGUCCCUAUGGGGAUCUUGGUGCCCCCAGUUGUCCCUAUAGGGAUCCUGGUGCCCCCAGCUGUCCCUAUGGGGAUCUUGGUGCCCCCAGCUGUCCCCAUAGGGAUCCCAGAGUCAUCAGUUGUCCCUAUAGGGAUCCCAGUGCCCCCAGCUGUCCCUAUGGGGAUCCCAGAGCCCCCAGUUGUCCCCAUAGGGAUCCCAGAGCCCCCAGUUGUCCCUAUGGGGAUCCCAGAGCCCCCAGCUGUCCCUAUGGGGAUCCCAGAGCCCCCAGCUGUCCCUAUGGGGAUCCCAGUCCCCUCUGCCCAGUUCCAGGAGUCUCCUCAGGUCCAUCUGCAGUGCUGCAGCCCUGCGCUUGGGCCUGCAGUGGUGCUGCACGUCUGCAGGGCUGCAGUGGUGCCCGCUGUGCGCCCUGGGUUGUGUGCGUGGUGCUGGGACUUCCCUGGUCUGGGGACUCGGGGAUCAUGGGGACAUGGGGACCAAAGGGACCAAAGGGACCAAAGGGACCAAAGGGACCAAAGGGACGUGGGAAUGUGGGGACUUGGGGACCAAAGGGACCAAAGGGACCAAAGGGACGUGGGAAUGUGGGGACAUGGGGACUAAAGGGACCAAAGGGACCAAAGGGACGUGGGAUUGUGGGGACAUGGGGACCAAAGGGACCAAAGGGACCAAAGGGACGUGGGAAUGUGGGGACAUGGGGACCAAAGGGACCAAAGGGACCAAAGGGACGUGGGAAUGUGGGGACUUGGGGACAUGGGGACAUCGUGGGGAUGUGGGGACACUGCAGGGAGCUCAGGUGGGCCGGGACCCCCCUGGCAGUGAACCCGGGGGGGGAUCCCCCUCUCCCCAGCAGUGUCUCCCUGCAGGUCGCCCCCCAGGCCGUCCCCGAGGACACCCUGCAGGCCCUGCUGGCCUGGGUGGCCGACAUGGAGGAGCUGGUGGGCAACCAGAAGCCGCCGGCUGCUGAUGUCAAGGUGGCGAAGGCGCAGCUGGAGGAGCAGAAGCUCCUGCGACGGCUGCUGGAGGAGCGGCGGCCCCGCGUGGAGCGCGGCCUGCAGGAGGAACCCGAGCGUGAAGACGUGGCUGCGCUGCGGCAGCGCUGGGGGCGGCUGCUGGAUGAGGUGCAGCACAGGUUCGUGUUCCUGGAGCGCAUCGUCCCGGCGGCGCAGCGUUUCCAGCAGGGCGCCGAUUCCUUCCAGGAGUGGCUGGCGGCCACCGAGCGGCUGCUGGCGCAGCUCUGGGGACCAAGGGAUGCGGGGACGGCCUGAGGGAUGCGCAUCGACGG
Lagopus muta (rock ptarmigan) is the source of this 4561-nucleotide RNA transcript. It is a transcript of the gene named microtubule-actin cross-linking factor 1, isoforms 6/7-like, with no coding region annotated. The record is from RefSeq and is a predicted model, not a curated record. NCBI's taxonomy places the organism in Eukaryota, Metazoa, Chordata, Aves, Galliformes, Phasianidae. The transcript is spliced from 3 exons.